GUGGCGAGGCCGGCUGGGCGGCUCGAACGCCUGGGUCCCCCUCCGCUCUCAGUUCGCAAGCGCGGAGGCCAGAUGCGAGAGCUCCCGCUGCGGAGACCUGGACGAGGGGGAGAAGUCAUCCCAGGAUUGGGGGUCCCCUGGAAGUGACGCUGACUCAGCCAGUGAGGAGCGGGCCUGUCUCCAACAGGCUGCAGAGCUGGGAGGAGACUUGGAGCCUCAUCCCGGAGAAAGGGCUGCCGGAGGAUGACCCGGACACCGUUGUGAAAGGUUGGCUGUACCGGGAGCCCCGCGGAGGAGGGGCGCGGCCCUGGCUGCCCCCGCGCCGAGCCUGGUUUGUGCUCACGCGGGACUCCCUGGAUCAGUUCAGCAGCAGCGGGAAAGGGGCGCGGCGUCUCGGGAGCCUCGUGCUCACCAGCCUGUGCUCGGUGACCGGCCCAGAGCGCAGGCGUAAGGAGACAGGUCUGUGGUCAGUGACUGUGUCUGGUCGGAAACACAGUGUCCGCCUCUGCUCCCCACGCCAGGCAGAGGCUGAGCGCUGGGGGGUGGCAUUGCGGGAAGUGAUCGCCUCCAAGGCACCCCUGGAGACCCCCACCCAGCUACUGCUCAGGGACAUACAG
RNAcentral lists this small RNA (617 nucleotides) under Pongo abelii (Sumatran orangutan). RNAcentral describes it as "processed transcript". Lineage: Eukaryota; Metazoa; Chordata; Mammalia; Primates; Hominidae. The record is from RNAcentral.